UUCUGGUUUAAAUGCUGCCUCCAUCUCAUAAAUUUUGUUCCAUGCAAUAUCUUUGAACCAGGGAUGAGCUUUAAUUUGGUCUGCCCCAAGAGUACCAAGCCUAUGUUCAACAUCACAAAGCAACCUACAGAUUAGAUCCUUUGCUUCAGGUGUCAGCCUUGCCUCAUCUGGAAAUUUCAAGUGAUUUUUCCAAUGCACAAUCUUUCUGCAUGUUGUUACUGGAUCAUCAGAAUAAAAUGGAGGAUAACCAACAAGCAUCUCAUACAUUAUUGCACCUAGCGACCACCAAUCACAAUCCAUGCCAUAUCCUUUCUUCAGCAAUACUUCUGGAGCAAUAUAAUCUGGUGUACCAACUGUAGAAUAUGCUAAUUUUCUUCUGUUUAUCUGCCAAUGCUGUAGUUGUUCUCUUGGACUUUUCCAGCACCUUCCACCAGUAUCUGGGAAUCGUCCAUCAACAUCCACUGAUUCCUUCAAAUUCCCAUCAUCAAGUGCUUCAUUUUCAUUUAUGGCAUACAAAUUUGAACAAUCGAGAGGCUUGCAAAGACCAAAAUCAGAAAGCUUCAUAUGCCCAUUUUUGUCCAGCAACAAGUUAUCAGGUUUUAUAUCUCUGUCCCCUACGAAGCAUUUCUGAUUUCUUCAAUUUUUUCAUUGCAUAGAUGUUACCAGACUUCUUCUCCCGACACAACCUUACCUCUCCAAAAGCCCCUCUACCUAUAAUGGUUAAAAGGUCAAAAUCAUCAAUGCAAAUUUUGUGCCUUUUCAUUCGCAUAUAUUCUGUCUCCUUGCGCUCUAAAUCCUUUAGUAGAUUGAUUUGUUCCUCUUGAGAUGCAUCAGAAGAUGCCAACUGUUUUUCUAGCACUGAGCGCCUUUCUUUGCGUUGUUGGAUGUGCUUCAUCUGAGCCUUGUAGUGGUUCUCAAUGAAAAGCUUAGCAGCAGCCACCCUCUCCAGCGUCAAGCUUGACCCGACCUCUCCUUCCUCCUCCUCUCCGGCCAUGGGCCCCACCUCGUCGUCGUCCUCGCGUUUCUCCUCCUCCUCAUGUUGAUUAUUCUCC
This 1052-nucleotide unclassified non-coding RNA is filed under the name Hevea brasiliensis (rubber tree). The record is from RNAcentral. Lineage: Eukaryota; Viridiplantae; Streptophyta; Magnoliopsida; Malpighiales; Euphorbiaceae.